CAAAACCUCCUUUCCACUACUUCGUAAACUGGAUUCAUCAUCAGAGGGAAAGUAAAGAACAAGUUUAUGCAAAGACCAAUUUGAACUAGGCUGCUAAGUAAUCCUUGUCCAAGAUUCGUCGUAAUUAUAUCCUUUGUAUCUUCACCAAAAGCAAAAUAUCCCAAUACACCAAAAGCACCAUACAAUAGAGAUAUCAAAGCCAUUGAAAAACCCAAGAUUUUCCCAAAUUUUGCCUUAUCUUUUGUCUCAGCUUCCAAAGGCAAUACCAUUCCAACACCUUCAAAAGCAUAAACAGCAACACCAAGACCAUAGAAAAACACACUAAAUCCACCAAAAGUUUCAAGAACAUGACUACUCUUCACAUAAAUCAUCACAUCUUUAACCAUCACAACCCCCAUAGCUCCUAAUUCAACAACAUCAGCAAAAAUACUCAAAGGGGCUAACAGGGUAAGAGUAGGAAUUGAAUUCAACCCCAACUGAAAAGGAAAACAGCUCCAAAUAUACACAGCUUUAGGUGGAAAGCCAAAGACUUUAGGAUUUGGAUUAGUUUUGGAGUAGUUAAAACAAUAUGCUAAAGUAUUUGCUAUGAAAAUCAGGUAACUAAUACAAAAACCAGCUUGUGACAGAACAAUCAUAACAUCAACAGCAGACCUACCAAUAGGUCCACAAACAGCAAACCCCAAAUCACCAAAAGAUGAAAUUUUUGCAGCUUUUAUGUGGGAUUCAAUCUUACGCCUUGAAUAGACCAAAAGCAUCAUACAGUAGUAGGUAAGAAAGGCAACUGAGAAGAGCAUGAUAGAACCCAUAACCCAUCCAGUUCUCUUAAAGGUGUAAGGAAGACCAAGAACUCCAGCUCCAACUAUGGCUAUGAAAACAUUAGCAAAAGUCUUGGAAGGAGAAGAAAGAUGUUGAAUCUUGCCAAGAAGUGGUGUAUCUUCUCUUGGGAUACUCAAAACAUGAGAAGAUGAACUUGCUUCAUCUUUCUUAAACCCCAUACUCUUAUUAUCCCAAAAUCAAGAAUCCAAUCAAACUUCUACACAAACCCCAGAUAUUAAAAAUCAAAACUUUAAGAUUUGAUUAACAAGAAGAAGAAAAAAAUCAAGAUUGAAUCUUUUCUCUUGCUCUUUUUGAAU
Molecule: unclassified non-coding RNA, 1133 nt
Filed under: Hevea brasiliensis (rubber tree)
Lineage: Eukaryota; Viridiplantae; Streptophyta; Magnoliopsida; Malpighiales; Euphorbiaceae
Source: RNAcentral